RNAcentral lists this long non-coding RNA (433 nucleotides) under Trifolium pratense (red clover). Its description in RNAcentral is "long non-coding RNA (TPRA_LNC014396)". Lineage: Eukaryota; Viridiplantae; Streptophyta; Magnoliopsida; Fabales; Fabaceae. The record is from RNAcentral.
AAAAGGAAAACUAUAAACCAAACUACCAAAGUUUAACAUUUUUCUAAACAUGAAGAAAGGGAAAGGUUAAAAUGUGACAAAAAAGGACAUAAGACAUAAGAGAAAGAGAAUAAAAUAGAAAAACAUAUAGAAUAUUAGAAUUGUACAUGUACUACAAAUUUAAGAGUCAAUAAAAUGUUGUUUUUGCAAAAUGGCUGGGUGAGAACACAAAUACGUCAGGAAUUGGGUCGCUGACAAACGACAGCAAUUGACUUAGAAGAAAAGGGAGUUGGUGAAUCAACAAAGCUGUCGCUACCCACUUUUCUCAUUCUUAAAACUAACUCUUUUACUCCCAAAACUACCUCUGCAACAACACAUAACCCAGGUACAUAACUACUAUUGUUUCAGCUACUUCUUCAUCUUGUUCUUUAUUUGCAUGAUCACACUUUUCCAU